Molecule: ribosomal RNA, 468 nt
Filed under: uncultured bacterium
Lineage: Bacteria
Description: partial 16S ribosomal RNA
Rfam family: Bacterial small subunit ribosomal RNA
Source: RNAcentral
GACGAACGCUGGCGGCGUGCUUAACACAUGCAAGUCGAACGGAAAGGCCCUGCUUUUGUGGGGUGCUCGAGUGGCGAACGGGUGAGUAACACGUGAGUAACCUGCCCUUGACUUUGGGAUAACUUCAGGAAACUGGGGCUAAUACCGGAUAGGAGCUCCUGCUGCAUGGUGGGGGUUGGAAAGUUUCGGCGGUUGGGGAUGGACUCGCGGGUUAUCAGCGUGUUGGUGGGGUAGUGGCUUACCACGGCUUUGACGGGUAGCCGGCAUGGGAGGGUGAACGGGGACAUUGGUACUGCGAGACGGACCAGACGCGAAUGGUAGGCAGUAGUGGAGAACAUUGCACAAUAGGCGGAAGUCUGAUGCAGAAACGCUCCGUGCGUGAUGCACGCUUGCGGGUUGUAAACCGCCUUCGCCUGUGACGAAGCGUGAGUGACGGUAAUGGGUAAAGAAGCACCGGCUAACUACGUG